This 426-nucleotide ribosomal RNA is filed under the name uncultured bacterium. Its description in RNAcentral is "bacterial SSU rRNA". It matches the Rfam family "Bacterial small subunit ribosomal RNA", at positions 356 to 773 of the family's 1533-position model. The record is from RNAcentral.
AGGGAAUCUUCCGCAAUGGACGAAAGUCUGACGGAGCAACGCCGCGUGAGUGAAGAAGGCCUUCGGGUCGUAAAACUCUGUUGCCGGGGAAGAACAAGUGCCGUUCGAACAGGGCGGCGCCUUGACGGUACCCGGCCAGAAAGCCACGGCUAACUACGUGCCAGCAGCCGCGGUAAUACGUAGGUGGCAAGCGUUGUCCGGAAUUAUUGGGCGUAAAGCGCGCGCAGGCGGCUUCGUAAGUCGGAUGUGAAAUCUUGCGGCUCAACCGCAAGCGGUCAUUGGAAACUGGGAGGCUUGAGUGCAGAAGAGGAGAGUGGAAUUCCACGUGUAGCGGUGAAAUGCGUAGAGAUGUGGAGGAACACCAGUGGCGAAGGCGACUCUCUGGGCUGUAACUGACGCUGAGGCGCGGAAGCGUGGGGAGCAAAC